RNAcentral lists this ribosomal RNA (503 nucleotides) under uncultured bacterium. RNAcentral's name for it is "partial 16S ribosomal RNA". It matches the Rfam family "Bacterial small subunit ribosomal RNA", at positions 30 to 523 of the family's 1533-position model. The record is from RNAcentral.
AUUGAACGCUGGCGGCAGGCUUAACACAUGCAAGUCGAGCGGGGUGAUGGUGCUUGCACUAUCACUUAGCGGCGGACGGGUGAGUAAUGCUUAGGAAUCUGCCUAUUAGUGGGGGACAACAUCUCGAAAGGGAUGCUAAUACCGCAUACGUCCUACGGGAGAAAGCAGGGGAUCACUUGUGACCUUGCGCUAAUAGAUGAGCCUAAGUCGGAUUAGCUAGUUGGUGGGGUAAAGGCCUACCAAGGCGACGAUCUGCAGCGGGUCUGAGAGGAUGAUCCGCCACACGGGGACGGAGAACCGGCCCAGACUCCUACGGGAGGCAGCGGUGGGGAAUAUUGGACAAUGGGGGGAACCCUGAUCCAGCCAUGCCGGGUGUGUGAAGAAGGCCUUAUGUUUGUAAAGCACUUUAAGCGAGGAGGAGGCUCUUUUGGUUAAUACCCAAGAUGAGUGGACGUUACUCGCAGAAUAAGCACCGGCUAACUCUGUGCCAGCAGCCGCAGUAA